This 352-nucleotide ribosomal RNA is filed under the name Streptomyces griseorubens. RNAcentral's name for it is "bacterial SSU rRNA". It matches the Rfam family "Bacterial small subunit ribosomal RNA", at positions 145 to 510 of the family's 1533-position model. The record is from RNAcentral. Lineage: Bacteria; Bacillati; Actinomycetota; Actinomycetes; Kitasatosporales; Streptomycetaceae.
AAGCCCUGGAAACGGGGUCUAAUACCGGAUACUGACCCGCUUGGGCAUCCAAGCGGUUCGAAAGCUCCGGCGGUGCAGGAUGAGCCCGCGGCCUAUCAGCUUGUUGGUGAGGUAAUGGCUCACCAAGGCGACGACGGGUAGCCGGCCUGAGAGGGCGACCGGCCACACUGGGACUGAGACACGGCCCAGACUCCUACGGGAGGCAGCAGUGGGGAAUAUUGCACAAUGGGCGAAAGCCUGAUGCAGCGACGCCGCGUGAGGGAUGACGGCCUUCGGGUUGUAAACCUCUUUCAGCAGGGAAGAAGCGAAAGUGACGGUACCUGCAGAAGAAGCGCCGGCUAACUACGUGCCA